Molecule: non-coding RNA, 30 nt
Filed under: Rattus norvegicus (Norway rat)
Lineage: Eukaryota; Metazoa; Chordata; Mammalia; Rodentia; Muridae
Source: RNAcentral
UGGCCAGACGAAUUGCCACAAAGUCCGAGA